Molecule: ribosomal RNA, 253 nt
Filed under: uncultured prokaryote
Description: partial 16S ribosomal RNA
Rfam family: Bacterial small subunit ribosomal RNA
Source: RNAcentral
UACAGAGGCCCCGAGCGUUACUGAGAAUCACUGGGUUUAAAGGGUGCGUAGGUGGCGCGUUAAGUCUGUUGUGAAAUCCCUGGGCUCAACCCAGGAAUUGCUUCGGAUACUGGCGUGCUUGAGGCUAGUAGAGGUCACUGGAACUGACGGUGGAGCGGUGAAAUGCGUAGAUAUCAGUCGGAACACCCGUGGCGAAGGCGGCUUCUUGGGCCUUACCUGACGCUGAUGCGCGAAAGCCAGGGUAGCGAACGGG